Long non-coding RNA from Cheilinus undulatus (humphead wrasse), 439 nucleotides. RefSeq lists it as uncharacterized. NCBI's taxonomy places the organism in Eukaryota, Metazoa, Chordata, Actinopteri, Labriformes, Labridae. The record is from RefSeq and is a predicted model, not a curated record. The transcript is spliced from 3 exons.
AACGUGUGUGUGAUCCAGCGGAGAAUCUAGCAGAUCAGUUUUGUUUUGGGGCGUUGUCUUAUCCACUCCACAGCGGUGUGUGAUCCAAAGAUCUGCAGACGUGACACUGAGUGUAUGAGUGAUCCCUCAGUCCCUGAGUCGUCAAAACUUCUGCGCCAACAAACUGUGAUCUUCACUGCGAGCGCCACAUUGUUCCCAACCGCGGCUGGAAGUCGGAGCUGUCAAGACGAACUGAGGUCACGCUUGCUCUGUCUCCCUCACUAGCCUGUUGUCGUCCAUAGUGGUGCCGCUCAGCGCUAACUAGGCUGCCUCCGAGCCCACAGCUACAUCCAAGAUGAUGGCUACCAUGGCAGCAGCCAUUGGAUACACCGGCAAACCUCACCUGCAACAAUCAAAGUGGGAGAAGAGAGAAAACAUAUUUUCCAUCAUUAAAACCUUU